This 250-nucleotide unclassified non-coding RNA is filed under the name plant metagenome. Its description in RNAcentral is "partial contains small subunit ribosomal RNA, internal transcribed spacer 1, and 5.8S ribosomal RNA". The record is from RNAcentral.
GUAGGUGAACCUGCGGAAGGAUCAUUAUCACGUACUUUUCGUACUAACUAAACUCGUGCAUAGUCGCUUGGGUUAACUGAGUAGGGGUGAACUAAAAUCGUUGUUCGGUGGUUUUUGUCGUGAUUUUAAGAGCUUCGGCUUUUAUCUUUGCGUUUUUGAAUCGCACCGUUUAGUUCUCAAGUGCUCUUUGCGAUUCGCAAAGGUCAUUUGGCCCUAUUCGACCUACUCAAGUGGCGCUUUUUAAAAAAAU